GGAGAGGUCGCCUAGUCCGGUCUAUGGCGCCGGUUUGCUAAACCGGUUGGGCGCAAGCCCUCGGGGGUUCGAAUCCCCCCCUCUCCG
RNAcentral lists this transfer RNA (87 nucleotides) under Actinomycetota bacterium. RNAcentral's name for it is "tRNA-Ser". It matches the Rfam family "tRNA". From Rfam's summary of the family: Transfer RNA (tRNA) molecules are approximately 80 nucleotides in length. Their secondary structure includes four short double-helical elements and three loops (D, anti-codon, and T loops). The record is from RNAcentral. RNAcentral also lists the same sequence under 1 other name. Lineage: Bacteria; Bacillati; Actinomycetota.